Molecule: ribosomal RNA, 254 nt
Filed under: uncultured bacterium
Lineage: Bacteria
Description: partial 16S ribosomal RNA
Rfam family: Bacterial small subunit ribosomal RNA
Source: RNAcentral
UACGUAGGGGGCAAGCGUUGUCCGGAAUCAUUGGGCGUAAAGCGCGUGUAGGCGGCCCACUAAGUCCGCUCUGAAAAGCCCGGGGCUCAACCCCGGGAGGCGGGUGGAUACUGGUGGGCUCGAGUCCGGAAGAGGUCAGUGGAAUUCCCGGUGUAGCGGUGAAAUGCGCAGAUAUCGGGAGGAACACCAAUGGCGAAGGCAGCUGACUGGGACGUGACUGACGCUGAGACGCGAAAGCGUGGGGAGCAAACAGG